This 161-nucleotide ribosomal RNA is filed under the name Mastocarpus papillatus s.l. clade 4. RNAcentral describes it as "5.8S ribosomal RNA". It matches the Rfam family "5.8S ribosomal RNA". From Rfam's summary of the family: 5.8S ribosomal RNA (5.8S rRNA) is a component of the large subunit of the eukaryotic ribosome. Lineage: Eukaryota; Rhodophyta; Florideophyceae; Gigartinales; Phyllophoraceae. The record is from RNAcentral.
ACUCGUGACGGUGGAUGUCUUGGCUCCAGCAACGAUGAAGAACGCAGCAAAAUGCGAUACGUAGUGCGAAUUGCAGAACCCGUGGAAUCAUCGAAUCUUUGAACGCAAGUUGCGCUCGCGGGCAAUCCUGCGAGCAUGUCUGUUUGAGUGUCCGCACAAAU